This is a non-coding RNA of Nomascus leucogenys (northern white-cheeked gibbon), 292 nucleotides long. It matches the Rfam family "Metazoan signal recognition particle RNA". From Rfam's summary of the family: The signal recognition particle (SRP) is a universally conserved ribonucleoprotein. It is involved in the co-translational targeting of proteins to membranes. NCBI's taxonomy places the organism in Eukaryota, Metazoa, Chordata, Mammalia, Primates, Hylobatidae. The record is from Rfam.
UCCAGGCGCAGUAGGUGCAACUAUAGUCCCAGCUACUGGAUAGGUUGAAGGGAGAGAAUGGCUGGAGCCCAGGAGUUCUGGGCUCUAGUAUGCUAUACCAAUCAGGUGUUUGGCAUCAAUAUGGUGACCUCCCCAAAGCGGAGAACCACCAGGUUGCCUAAGGAGGGGUGAACCUCCUUAGGCAGGUCAGAAACAGAGCAGGUCAAAACUCCUUUGCUGAUUAGUAGUAAAAUUGGGCCUGUGAAUAGACACUGCACUCCAGCCCGGGCAACAUAGCAAGACCCCAUCUCUA